Molecule: non-coding RNA, 326 nt
Organism: Gossypium raimondii (Peruvian cotton)
Lineage: Eukaryota; Viridiplantae; Streptophyta; Magnoliopsida; Malvales; Malvaceae
Rfam family: Plant signal recognition particle RNA
Source: Rfam
GCCGAGCCUGGUAGCGCAAGCUUGUGACCCAAGUGGGGGCUUUUAGGUCAUGGAACACGAGUUCUACUCUUUGAGUCGGUUCCACAAUGGUUUGACUCAGGCUUGCCCGUUCCAAGCCGAGAGUUGGACCAAGGGGCACGAGCGUAGGCUUGUGCGUCGCGGUUCUUAGAGUGGGGGAUAACAGGCCUGAUCUAUCCAGGCGAUAUGUGAUUUGAACCUGCAGCAAACACCUCCGGCUCUUGACAGUGAAAGGAUAACAGGCCUGACACUCCUCUCGAAUUCCAAACUGAGCAAGUAGGAAUCAAUUCGAGCAUACCAGGCUCGAG